Long non-coding RNA from Mus musculus (house mouse), 953 nucleotides. RefSeq annotates it as predicted gene, 39604. The record is from RefSeq and is a predicted model, not a curated record. The transcript is spliced from 4 exons. NCBI's taxonomy places the organism in Eukaryota, Metazoa, Chordata, Mammalia, Rodentia, Muridae.
CACUUCAUUGCCAACCCAGGCCCAUAUGGGCUGCCCAGAGAAGGGUAUGUUUUUCAGUUGUGGGGGUAGGGAAAAAGUUUUUAAAAGCUUCUGUGAUGAUGUGAAGCUGGGUUCCCUUACACCCACUGUUCCUAAGUGAUCCAGAAUUUAACCCAGUCCGCUGGAGAGAACUAGGACGGUGACUGGAAACCUGUGGAGAGCUGGUUGACGUUCCAUAUAAAUCUGGAGUGGUGGCACUUGCCUGUGAUUCCAGCACCGAGGAGGAGAGGCAAGAGUUCAGGACAGUGACAGUUGUAUAAAAACCAUGAUUGAUUAGCCAGUCGCCAUGUUCCAUACAAGCCAGGGGAUUGUGGCCAUCGAUUUGCACAGGCUACCUAUAUGAUGGCUGCUCACCUUGCCUUUGCGAGUCAACCUUGCCACUUGGCCCCUACUACUCUGAGGCAUAUUGGGGUUGGAAAUUUCAGCAACAAAUUGGCGCCCAAUGUGAGACUUAGAAUUCAACUAAGGGUUCUACAGAGAGCUACGGAGAGGCUCCCUCCCAAGCCCCAAGCAAACCACAGCACCCAGAGACAGCUCCCCAACCAUGAGCUGGGACUUACAGUGCCACAACACAGGGUUCCCCAAGCCUAAAGAAAGACCAAGGACCCUGGGUUAUGACUGCCUGUAAAACAGCCUUCACAACUAAAGAUCAACAACUAAAAAACUGACAGUUAACUUCACAAAGCCUUCUCACAGAUGUAAUAGGCUCUAUCUGGGACUCUCCGCUGAGCAAUCCUUCUUGUGCUUGAUUUCCUAUAUCCUCCACGUCUAAACAGGACGUGGGACAGUCAGACCCGCUCUUACACUACAGACUACCUGAGACUGACACGCAUACUGCUGGACAUAACCUAAGACAGAGACAAAACCAGAAAAAGCUGCUGGUCUCUCUACAGUGAGCCCCUCCCUUCAAAUAA